AACAUUUUACGAUACCACUUUGGAGGAUUUUUAUUUAGUCACCCAGUAGCUUUUAUCAUUUGAAAAACGCGCCGUUUGCUGUUUUUUCUUUAUCGUCCAAUAAACUUGAAUUGUAUUGCAAAUUUCUGCCUACAGGGGAACUCGUCUUUUCCUUUAUCUGUCGGAAUGGUACCUAUUCGCACUGGUGAUCCAUUUGCAGUAUAGACUGUUAAAUGUGGAAGAAAUUUUAUUACGUAUUUCUUCAUUUGUUUGGAUAAGAGUGCAAUAAAUGAUCGAACGAUAGAAAGAGAAAUCGUAUUUGUAAAUUCAAAUAAAUAUCAUGAAUGAGACGACGAAGAGUGAAGAACAUAAGUGAGGUUAUAUUUUACACCGUUGUAACUUUGUAAAAAAAAAAAAAAAAUACAGUAAUCAGCUUGAAUUAAUUUUAAAUCUCUGUUUUCAGAAAUUGGGUCGAAUUAUAUCAGUUUCAAUAUUGGGAGAAAUUGAAGAGAGAUACAAUAAUAUUAAUUCUGAUAAAAUAAAUGAUAUUAUUUUAAAUUUUAAAAAAUUAGCAACAAAAGAACUAUAUAAGCCUCGAAAUAUUCUUUUAUAUCACGAAUAAUAUCGCGAAAUCGUAAAAUUAUAAUUGUUAAUGUAUUAAAAAAAUUGACAAUUAGAAAUAAAGAACUUGAUAAGUAAAUUCAGGUUACAGUUCUAACAAUAAUAUUUAUUGAUCUAAAGGAUAAAGUAAUUUGUCAUUUAUAUGAAAUGGGAAAUUUUUUUUCAUUUUAAUUAGAUUCUGAAAAAAUAAAGAAUUAAAAGAAUUGAGAAUACACAACAACUUUGAAUAAUUGAUAAAAAAUUUCAAGUAUGUUAAAACUAUAUUUUUAAUUAAUAGAUUAAUUAGUAAAAGUGACGAAUAUUGACUUUUUGGAUGAACAUCGAAAUAUUUUAUCGUCGAAAAAAAAAAUGUGACGAAUAUUAGAUUUGAAAAAUAUAAAUAUUUCAUUGUAAUUCUCAUUUCAAGAAUUCAUAUAUUUACGAACUUUUUUGCAGAACGUUAUAUAAGGCAACAAUUUUGCUAAAUAAUUUUUACACAAAUUUUCGAAUUGUUACAAACAUUAGUCCAACUUAUUUUUAAUCAACAUAUCAUACAUUCGUGCUCUUGUGAUAAUUUAUUGUCAAAAGAAGUUUUCCAAUGAUGUCAAAGAGAAACAACAUUACAGAGCCAAAAAACGAGCAAAAGAGAUAAAGAAAAAUAAUUGGAGAAUAAAUAUGAAAUUAUAUAUCUCUUGUUACAAUCAUCAAAUGAAUUUCUACAAUCUUUUCUUUUUUUAUCUAAAGUAAAUUACUUCUUUUCUUUAUCAAGUACAUCUUUUUCUACGUUUCUUCUUAUGAAAUCAUCCUCGAUUGUAUUUACUAUUCUACGAUUUCUACUGCAAAUUAGAAACUAAUCAAUUCAUAAAAUCGAGAACAAUUUACACAAUUUACAGAAUUAAAUUUUCGUAUCAAUUCAAGGAUGAACAAUUCUCUUUUCGUCAAAUUUUCAUUCUUAUUUGUUAAAAUUAAUUUUUGACAGCUCGCCUCAUCUCUCGUCUCCCGGAUAAAUUAACAAACAUAAGUUUUUCUUUUUCUUUUAAUGGCCGACGUGAAGGAUGAAAGGCUUUCCGCGUAACGUCGACCUUCCUUCGUCAUCUCGAGCACACCCUUCGCGAUAGUUUCACCCUCUUUUCGUACCGCCCCUUCUAUUCCCAGUGUGAGCGUUUCAUCAAGGGUUAUAUCGCAGAGGGUGUAACCAUGGAUACGCGAGCAGCCAUGUUGGUCCAGAGGCGUGAGAGGAUGGAAAAUUCGAUAAUUUCCACCCCGAAAUGGCGAAGUUUCCUCGGAGGAAGAAUGUUUAAAUAAUUUCUAAAACACAUAAUUCGUGAUUUGAAAGAAAACAGAAAAAUUGGAAAACGUAAAGAUGCAUAUCGUUCGAUCCGUGUCAAAAAAUGGAGAAACGAGAGAUUAUUUAUUUAAAUAUUAAACACAACUUAUAUUUGUUAUUAUCAGAAAAUAAUCUUUCACUUAUUUCCCUCCAUUUGUAUUUAUGAUAACUCGAUCUCGACACUUUAAUCACACACGAUAUCCGCUAUAAAAAUACGAGUAUUUACCAGGAUAAGCGUGGAUAAAUGUUAACACAACACGCGUCCAACUGAAUCACGGAAUCGAAGCAAACUGGUAGCGGAAAGAAUCGAGGACGAAAACGAAGCCUGGAGAGAGAAAGAGAGAGAGAGAGAGAAAAAAGGUUAAAAAAGGCAAUAAAACGAAGGCGAAACCGUGGCUAAAAGUUUUUAAGAUAUAACGCAGAGGAGUAGGUAGAGGAGGUAGAGUAUCAAGACGUGGAAUUCCUUCGAAACGAAAGGAUUUCAGAUGAAUGGGCCAAGAGUUAUGCCUUUAUUGCACCCAUGUAUGUAUUAUUUUCAAAAAAUUGUCGAAGAAAAGAUGCAGCUGUCGAGAGGAAAACCAGGGAGAAGAAAAAAAAAAUAUCGAAAACUUCAAAAUUUCCAAAAAUAUUCGAAUAUUCGAAAAAUAUAUAUAAUUCAUCUCAAGAUGAAAUAAGAUAAUUACAUUCAUAAAUUAAAUUCACGUGAAUACUCAUUUUCUCCGAUUUAACUUUCCCAAAUUAUUUAUACGUGCAGUCAGAUUAAAAUAUAAAACCAUACUAUUUUUUCUAAAUCGUACUUUCUUGCACAAUUACCAUCCAUUUUCGAUUCGACGAGUCGUCACCAUUCUCCAAAGGAAAUUAAAAUGAAAAUGAGGGAGGGGGGAGGAUGAGAGCAAGGUUGGAACGUAGAGUAGUUUAUAACGGUCUCCUUUAACACCGUUAAUAUCUUCCGUUCCCUUGGAAACGAUCGCAGAGCUCUCUUCUUCUCGAGCAGUAACGUCCGCCAAUAUGUCUCCCCUAAAAGCGUCAGGGUGGCGGCGGUUGCACGCUACCGAUGAGGUAACAGCUGCUGAAUCGUCAGUUGGUUCAACCAAUCCGUCCGGAGGGCCGAUAAAAUUAACGUUCAUUGUUCUUCACGAAACACCAAUCGUCAUACGUGCAAUCGUAAAAUUUCUCCUUUUCAGCAAUCGAAAUCCACGGCUGUUCAAAUAAUCUGACGAGCUAUCUAAAAAUAAUUAUUUGUUUAUUAAUAAAGAUUAUUAAUGAUCGAAAUAAAGUAAUUUUAAUUGCUGAAGAAUAUGGACGAAAUCGAGAACAAGCGUGUUCUUAUUAUCUUCGUACGUUGGAGUUUCUGGAUAAAAUUGAGGUAAAAAAGAACGUUUUUUGACUUUGUUUCGUAAGAUGAGAUCAUUGCGCAGCGACGUAGUGGGUAUAAUAAUUUUUCUAUUAAGAUAAUAUUUCUGGGGGAAAAAAGAAAAAAAGGGAAAAAGAAAGGAAAGAUAUUUUAAUAAAGAAAGAAAUAAAUGAAAUCCUAAGUGUCAAAAUAAUUGUAAAUUUUCAUCUCCUUUAUGAAAUUGUAAUAUGUGUAAUAAAAAAUAAAAUUCUUUUAAAAAUUAA
This is a long non-coding RNA of Apis cerana (Asiatic honeybee), 3523 nucleotides long. RefSeq lists it as uncharacterized. NCBI's taxonomy places the organism in Eukaryota, Metazoa, Arthropoda, Insecta, Hymenoptera, Apidae. The record is from RefSeq and is a predicted model, not a curated record.